Molecule: non-coding RNA, 512 nt
Organism: Alligator mississippiensis (American alligator)
Lineage: Eukaryota; Metazoa; Chordata; Crocodylia; Alligatoridae
Source: the annotation of a RefSeq genome assembly
GCACACGUACCAAGAUGGCAUCACUGGCUCCCCUGCUCUGCCUCGUGGUGCUCUGGGCCCAGGGUUCCUCCGGGCAGAUUGUGCUGACUCAGACCCCACAGUCCCUGGCGGUGUCUCCAGGAGAUCGAGUGACCAUCAAGUGCAAAGCCAGUUCCAGCCUUACUGCUAGUAGUUAUCAGUACUUAGCCUGGUACCAGCAGAAACCUGGACAAGCUCCUAAGCUCCUCAUCUAUGGUGGUUCCACACUGCAGUCGGGAGUCCCAGCCCGGUUCAGCGGCAGUGGCUCUGGCACUGAUUUCACUCUCACCAUCAGCGGUGUUGAAGCUGAAGAUGCUGGAGAUUAUUACUGUCACCAGUCCCUCAGUGAUCCUCACACAGUGAUACAAACCCAUACAAAAACCUCCCGAGGCUGCACAGCCCAGCACCACAGCUGCUUCCUGAAGAGACACUUACUUGAAAACUUGCUAAACACAAUAUUGUCUCAGGGGUUUCCCCAGGAUGUCAGUGUGUGA